Molecule: small nucleolar RNA, 81 nt
Organism: Pongo abelii (Sumatran orangutan)
Lineage: Eukaryota; Metazoa; Chordata; Mammalia; Primates; Hominidae
Source: Ensembl
AUUUAAAAUUUUAAUAUGUACUUUUUGCAACCCAGAACUCAUUGUUCAGUAUGGGUUUUGAUACAUAUAAGAAGGGAUAUU